RNAcentral lists this long non-coding RNA (201 nucleotides) under Musa acuminata (dwarf banana). RNAcentral's name for it is "long non-coding RNA (MACU_LNC008394)". The record is from RNAcentral. Lineage: Eukaryota; Viridiplantae; Streptophyta; Magnoliopsida; Zingiberales; Musaceae.
GGGAAACAGGUGAUACUACACGGAAAACGUGGGGGCGACGUAAUGACGAUUUGCACACAACAAAUGGAGAAGGUUUUGCAUAAAGCAUGCAGUGGAAUUUUAGUACAACUUGAGCAGCAAACUAAGGGAGAGCCAAUAAAAUUUGAAGAUCCAAAUCUACUUCCUUUACUUGCUGAAUUUUCAGAUAUAUUUGACGAACCG